GGGGUUGACUGGUUUUGACAGCGUGUCGAGGUGGUGUGUAAGCGUGCAGAGCCAUGGUGUACAGACUCUUAAAACCUGACAUCGAACAAUUUAAUUGGCGAAAACAAUCUCGCUCUCGCUGCUUGAUUGAAGUACAGUAGAUCAGCUUAAUCCCCGCGACAGUCGCAGGGACGGGACAUCACCCGAUUGCCGUCUUCUCGAGGCGUAUCGACCCGGUGGUGUAAGAAAAUCGAGAAUAGGACUCGGUGAGCCUCGUGACCGAGACCGAAAUAAUAGAGGAUAAGGAUAUGUUUGGUCGUCUUCGGCCUGGCAUGUCACGAAAACCAAACGAAGAAUACGCACGUAGAAAGCACAUUAGUUCCACGUUUGGACGAGGGUUCAAGUCCCUCCAACUCCACA
This 399-nucleotide transfer-messenger RNA is filed under the name pig gut metagenome. It matches the Rfam family "transfer-messenger RNA". From Rfam's summary of the family: Bacterial tmRNA, also known as 10Sa RNA or SsrA, is named for its dual tRNA and mRNA-like properties. Its role is to liberate the mRNA from a stalled ribosome. To accomplish this part of the tmRNA is used as a reading frame that ends in a translation stop signal. The record is from RNAcentral.